ACCGUGACGUGAAGGAAUGCUGGCCAGAGGGAACACGUCCCC
RNAcentral lists this non-coding RNA (42 nucleotides) under Rhodomonas abbreviata. Lineage: Eukaryota; Cryptophyceae; Pyrenomonadales; Pyrenomonadaceae. The record is from RNAcentral.